This 72-nucleotide transfer RNA is filed under the name Fukomys damarensis (Damara mole-rat). It matches the Rfam family "tRNA". From Rfam's summary of the family: Transfer RNA (tRNA) molecules are approximately 80 nucleotides in length. Their secondary structure includes four short double-helical elements and three loops (D, anti-codon, and T loops). Lineage: Eukaryota; Metazoa; Chordata; Mammalia; Rodentia; Bathyergidae. The record is from Rfam by way of RNAcentral.
CUUUCUAGGGCUAAGGGGUAAAGUGCUUGACUAACAUGCAAGAGACCCUGGGUUCAAUUCCCAGCAGCAAGA